CGCUUAGGCGUGUGACUGCGUACCUUUUGUAUAAUGGGUCAGCGACUUAUAUUCUGUAGCAAGGUUAACCGAAUAGGGGAGCCGAAGGGAAACCGAGUCUUAACUGGGCGUUAAGUUGCAGGGUAUAGACCCGAAACCCGGUGAUCUAGCCAUGGGCAGGUUGAAGGUUGGGUAACACUAACUGGAGGACCGAACCGACUAAUGUUGAAAAAUUAGCGGAUGACUUGUGGCUGGGGGUGAAAGGCCAAUCAAACCGGGAGAUAGCUGGUUCUCCCCGAAAGCUAUUUAGGUAGCGCCUCGUGAAUUCAUCUCCGGGGGUAGAGCACUGUUUCGGCAAGGGGGUCAUCCCGACUUACCAACCCGAUGCAAACUGCGAAUACCGGAGAAUGUUAUCACGGGAGACACACGGCGGGUGCUAACGUCCGUCGUGAAGAGGGAAACAACCCAGACCGCCAGCUAAGGUCCCAAAGUCAUGGUUAAGUGGGAAACGAUGUGGGAAGGCCCAGACAGCCAGGAUGUUGGCUUAGAAGCAGCCAUCAUUUAAAGAAAGCGUAAUAGCUCACUGGUCGAGUCGGCCUGCGCGGAAGAUGUAACGGGGCUAAACCAUGCACCGAAGCUGCGGCAGCGACGCUUAUGCGUUGUUGGGUAGGGGAGCGUUCUGUAAGCCUGUGAAGGUGUGCUGUGAGGCAUGCUGGAGGUAUCAGAAGUGCGAAUGCUGACAUAAGUAACGAUAAAGCGGGUGAAAAGCCCGCUCGCCGGAAGACCAAGGGUUCCUGUCCAACGUUAAUCGGGGCAGGGUGAGUCGACCCCUAAGGCGAGGCCGAAAGGCGUAGUCGAUGGGAAACAGGUUAAUAUUCCUGUACUUGGUGUUACUGCGAAGGGGGGACGGAGAAGGCUAUGUUGGCCGGGCGACGGUUGUCCCGGUUUAAGCGUGUAGGCUGGUUUUCCAGGCAAAUCCGGAAAAUCAAGGCUGAGGCGUGAUGACGAGGCACUACGGUGCUGAAGCAACAAAUGCCCUGCUUCCAGGAAAAGCCUCUAAGCAUCAGGUAACAUCAAAUCGUACCCCAAACCGACACAGGUGGUCAGGUAGAGA
RNAcentral lists this ribosomal RNA (1093 nucleotides) under Escherichia coli. RNAcentral's name for it is "partial 23S ribosomal RNA". It matches the Rfam family "Bacterial large subunit ribosomal RNA", at positions 582 to 1677 of the family's 2925-position model. The record is from RNAcentral. Lineage: Bacteria; Pseudomonadati; Pseudomonadota; Gammaproteobacteria; Enterobacterales; Enterobacteriaceae.